UACGUAGGGUGCAAGCGUUAAUCGGAAUUACUGGGCGUAAAGCGUGCGCAGGCGGUUGGAUAAGUCUGAUGUGAAAGCCCCGGGCUCAACCUGGGAACGGCAUUGGAGACUGUCCGGCUAGAGUACGUCAGAGGGGGGUGGAAUUCCACGUGUAGCAGUGAAAUGCGUAGAGAUGUGGAGGAACACCGAUGGCGAAGGCAGCCCCCUGGGAUGAUACUGACGCUCAUGCACGAAAGCGUGGGGAGCAAACAGGAUUAGAUACCCUGGUAGUCCACGCCCUAAACGAUGUCGACUAGUUGUUGGGGGUUGAAAUCCCUGGUAACGCAGCUAACGCGUGAAGUCGACCGCCUGGGGAGUACGGCCGCAAGGUUAAAACUCAAAG
RNAcentral lists this ribosomal RNA (382 nucleotides) under uncultured bacterium. RNAcentral's name for it is "bacterial SSU rRNA". It matches the Rfam family "Bacterial small subunit ribosomal RNA", at positions 524 to 906 of the family's 1533-position model. The record is from RNAcentral.